CCCUACGGGGCGCAGCAGGCGCGAAAACUUUACAAUGCGGGAAACCGUGAUAAGGGGACACCGAGUGCUAGCAUCAUAUGCUAGCUGUCCAGGCGUGUAAACUACGCCUGUUAGCAAGGGCCGGGCAAGACCGGUGCCAGCCGCCGCGGUAACACCGGCGGCCCGAGUGGUAAUCGUGAUUAUUGGGUCUAAAGGGUCCGUAGCCGGUUUGGUCAGUCCUCCGG
Molecule: ribosomal RNA, 224 nt
Filed under: uncultured methanogenic archaeon
Lineage: Archaea; Methanobacteriati; Methanobacteriota
Description: partial 16S ribosomal RNA
Rfam family: Archaeal small subunit ribosomal RNA
Source: RNAcentral